This 468-nucleotide ribosomal RNA is filed under the name uncultured bacterium. Its description in RNAcentral is "partial 16S ribosomal RNA". It matches the Rfam family "Bacterial small subunit ribosomal RNA", at positions 28 to 507 of the family's 1533-position model. The record is from RNAcentral.
GACGAACGCUGGCGGCGUGCUUAACACAUGCAAGUCGAACGGAAAGGCCCUGCUUUUGUGGGGUGCUCGAGUGGCGAACGGGUGAGUAACACGUGAGUAACCUGCCCUUGACUUUGGGAUAACUUCAGGAAACUGGGGCUAAUACCGGAUAGGAGCUCCUGCUGCAUGGUGGGGGUUGGAAAGUUUCGGCGGUUGGGGAUGGACUCGCGGCUUAUCAGCUUGUUGGUGGGGUAGUGGCUUACCAAGGCUUUGAUGGGUAGCCGGCCUGAGAGGGUGACCGGCCACAUUGGGACUGAGAUACGGCCCAGACUCCUACGGGAGGCAGCAGUGGGGAAUAGUGCACAAUGGGCGGAAGCCUGAUGCAGCAACGCCGCGUGCGGGAUGACGGCCUUCGGGUUGUAAACCGCUUUCGCCUGUGACGAAGCGUGAGUGACGGUAAUGGGUAAAGAAGCACCGGCUAACUACGUG